AUUGAACGCUGGCGGCAUGCCUUACACAUGCAAGUCGAACGGUAACAGGUCUUCGGAUGCUGACGAGUGGCGAACGGGUGAGUAAUACAUCGGAACGUGCCCGAUCGUGGGGGAUAACGCAGCGAAAGCUGUGCUAAUACCGCAUACGAUCUACGGAUGAAAGCGGGGGAUCGCAAGACCUCGCGCGGACGGAGCGGCCGAUGGCAGAUUAGGUAGUUGGUGGGAUAAAAGCUUACCAAGCCGACGAUCUGUAGCUGGUCUGAGAGGACGACCAGCCACACUGGGACUGAGACACGGCCCAGACUCCUACGGGAGGCAGCAGUGGGGAAUUUUGGACAAUGGGGGAACCCUGAUCCAGCCAUGCCGCGUGCAGGAUGAAGGCCUUCGGGUUGUAAACUGCUUUUGUACGGAACGAAAAGGUACCUUUCUAAUUAAAGAGGGCUCAUGACGGUACCGUAAGAAUAAGCACCGGCUAACUACGUGCCAGCAGCCGCGGU
Molecule: ribosomal RNA, 497 nt
Filed under: uncultured bacterium
Lineage: Bacteria
Description: bacterial SSU rRNA
Rfam family: Bacterial small subunit ribosomal RNA
Source: RNAcentral